CUCUUUAUGAAAAUAAUAUAAAGUAGGGCCUGCCCACUGAAAUUUUGAAGGGCCGCAGUAUUUUGACUGUGCAAAGGUAGCAUAAUCAUUAGUUUUUUAAUUGGAAGCUUGUAUGAAUGGUUUGAUGAGAAAAUGACUGUUUCAUUUUUAAUUUAUAGAAUUUUAUUUUUAAGUAAAAAAGCUUAAAUAUUAUUUAAAGACGAGAAGACCCUAUAGAGUUUAACUGAAUUUAUUAAUUAAAUAUUUAGAAUAUUAAAGUUUAAAUUUUUAAAUAAGUUUUGUUGGGGUGACAGAAAAAUUAAAUAAACUUUUUUUUAAUUAUUACAAUUAUAAUUGAACAUUUGAUCCAUAAAAUUGAUUAAAAGAUUAAAUUACCUUAGGGAUAACAGCGUAAUCUUUUUUGAGAGUUCUUAUUAAAAAAAGGGGUUGCGACCUCGAUGUUGGAUUAAAAUUUAUUUUUGGUGCAGAAGCUGAAAAAUUAGGUCUGUUCGACCUUUAAAAUUUUACAUGAUCUGAGUUUAAACCGGUGUGAGCCAGGUUGGUUUCUAUCUUAAAUAAAAUUAAUAUUUUAGUACGAAAGGAUUAAAUAUUAUAUUUAUAAUAUAAUUUUAUAGAAUUUUAUUUUGGCAGAUUAGUGCGAAGGAUUUAGAAUCUUUUCAUGUAUUUAGAUACAGGUAAAAAUUGAUUUAAUUUUAAGUUUUUUAAAUUUUUUAAUUUUAAUUAUUGGGAUUUUGGU
RNAcentral lists this ribosomal RNA (736 nucleotides) under Epilachna blaesa. RNAcentral's name for it is "partial 16S ribosomal RNA". The stretch from base 1 to 576 matches the Rfam family "Archaeal large subunit ribosomal RNA", at positions 1911 to 2987 of the family's 2987-position model. Lineage: Eukaryota; Metazoa; Arthropoda; Insecta; Coleoptera; Coccinellidae. The record is from RNAcentral.